Molecule: ribosomal RNA, 499 nt
Filed under: uncultured bacterium
Lineage: Bacteria
Description: partial 16S ribosomal RNA
Rfam family: Bacterial small subunit ribosomal RNA
Source: RNAcentral
GACGAACGCUGGCGGCGUGCUUAACACAUGCAAGUCGAACGGGCCCGCUCUCUUUUUUGGGGGUGGGUUGAGUGGCGAACGGGUGAGUAUCACGUGAGUAACCUGCCCCCUGCUCCUGGAUAACUGCUUGAAAGGGCGGCUAAUACGGGGUGUGCCGGCUGGUCCGCAUGGGCCUGGUCGGGAUAGUUUCAUCUUCGGGUGUUUCGGUGGGGGAUGGGCUCGCGGCCUAUCAGCUUGUUGGUGGGGUGAUGGCCCACCAAGGCGGUGACGGGUAGCCGGCCUGAGAGGGUGGGCGGCCACACUGGGACUGAGACACGGCCCAGACUGCUGCGGGAGGCAGCAGUGGGGGGUAUUGCACAAUGGGCGGAAGCCUGAUGCAGCGACGUCGCGUGAGGGAUGGAGGCCUUCGGGUUGUGAACCUCUUUCUCCGGUGGUGAAGGCCCUGUCCGUUGCGGCGGGGUUGACGGUAGCCGGGUAUGAAGCGCCGGCUAACUACGUG